RNAcentral lists this non-coding RNA (30 nucleotides) under Homo sapiens (human). Lineage: Eukaryota; Metazoa; Chordata; Mammalia; Primates; Hominidae. The record is from RNAcentral.
UUAAAGGUUAAAGUUUCCUUGAUGGGUUUU